CUUUGCUGACGAGCGGCGGAAGGGUGAGUAAUGCUUGGGAAUAUGCCUUUACGUGGGGGACAACAGUUGGAAACAACUGCUAAUACCGCAUAAUGUCUUCAGACCAAAGGAGGGGACUCUUCGGAGCCUUUCGCGUAAAGAUUAACCCAAGUGGGAUUAACUAAUUGGUAAGGUAAUGGCUUACCAAGGCAACAAUCCCUAACUGGUUUGAGAGGAUGAUCAACCACACUGGGACUGAAACACGGCCCAAACUCCUACGGGAGGCAGCAGUGGGGAAUAUUGCACAAUGGGCGAAAGCCUGAUGCAACCAUGCCGCGUGUGUGAAAAAGGCCUUCGGGUUGUAAAGCACUUUCAAUCGUGAGGAAGGGGUAAUAAUUAAUACUUGCUAUCUUUGACGUUAGCGACAAAAAAAAGACCGGCUAACUCCGUGCCAGCAACCGCGGUAAUACAGAGGGUCCGAGCGUUAAUCAGAAUUACUGGGCGUAAAGCGUACGCAGGCGGAUUGUUAAACCAAAUGUGAAAUCCCCGGGCUCAACCUGGGAAUGGAAUUUGGAACUGGCAAGCUAGAGUUUUGUAGAGGGUGGUAAAAUUUC
RNAcentral lists this ribosomal RNA (593 nucleotides) under Agarivorans albus. RNAcentral's name for it is "bacterial SSU rRNA". It matches the Rfam family "Bacterial small subunit ribosomal RNA", at positions 83 to 670 of the family's 1533-position model. Lineage: Bacteria; Pseudomonadati; Pseudomonadota; Gammaproteobacteria; Alteromonadales; Alteromonadaceae. The record is from RNAcentral.